AUGCUGUGAAGGAGGAGGGCGCUGAUCACGGCUGGAUGAUGGAGAAAUGAAGCCGCGGACGCUGUGGAGGAGGCGGUGAUCGCACGGACGGCUGCUGAGAAUGGACACGAUGGAGGAUCGCCACAGACGCUGGGAUCAUGAACACGGGAGAAUCACGCUGAGAGCUGGACGCGUGAAUGGAGGAGGCGGACGCUGGGGCUGGGAUUGGCUUGGACCGUGGGAUUCUCGGACGCAAGUUCCGGCUGUGAAUUGGCUG
RNAcentral lists this long non-coding RNA (256 nucleotides) under Phoenix dactylifera (date palm). RNAcentral's name for it is "long non-coding RNA (PDAC_LNC012528)". Lineage: Eukaryota; Viridiplantae; Streptophyta; Magnoliopsida; Arecales; Arecaceae. The record is from RNAcentral.